RNA transcript from Culex quinquefasciatus (southern house mosquito), 1417 nucleotides. RefSeq lists it as uncharacterized. NCBI's taxonomy places the organism in Eukaryota, Metazoa, Arthropoda, Insecta, Diptera, Culicidae. The record is from RefSeq and is a predicted model, not a curated record. The transcript has 4 exons.
GCACAAUUUUAAUUCGCGUGACUUGUUCUUAAAAGUUUUUUUAUGUGUUAAUUAUGAGUUUUUGUUAACUCACGCAACAAUAGAUUCUAUUGCUAACUAACACUAACGUAGAUUGAUUGUUCUUAAUCGCAACUUAAAAACACGGUCACUCACCUGACUUAAGCCGGAAUUUUUUAUCCAUCGUCGUUCGUGUGGUAGUGCGUGUACUGUCGGGAUUUCCCCGUGAAUGUGUGCGAUAAAAAUAAGGCAGCAGAGGAAAAUAAAGUAGUUUCUGUUUGUUUACAAAUAUUUAUUUACGUUUGUAUUUAUUUCUCGACGCAUUCCUGCAGUCGCGUGUUGCACAAAAAUAAUCUCGAAAAAAGUGCACUCGAAAAAAUCGUUCUAAUCCGAUUGAAUUAAUUUUAGAGUGUGCGAAUAUGUGUGCGUUUAAAAUUGAAAAUGUGUGAAUAGUCUCGUUUAUAACGGUGACGUUUGUAUCGUUUUGGUCAUCGUUUGAUCGCCACCCCCUGAAUCCGAAACAGGUGUUUGGGUUGGUGGAAUGUGUGAGGAGUAAGAAGAUUUCGGGUUAGGAGAAGACAGGAUUGUAGAAUAAUAAGAAGAUGCCCUACAGCAAUGGGGCCACGCUGCGCUUCCUGCUGCCGGGGCCCUUCCGGGGAAACGCCCAGGACUGCAACCUGGCGCGGCAAUCUCAGAGUUCCGACUCCGUGUACCGGGACGAGGCGGACGACGUGCUGGGCUCGAUCACACCGCUCGCGUACCGUCCCAUGACCAACGGGAUUAUGGCAGAUGAGGAUGGCGAAGACGACGAUGGGCGGCACCGGAAUGAGUAAGUAUUCGACGACACGAGUCCAGUUCAUCCGAAACAAAAAAAAGUCUCCCCGACAUGGGAGAGAUACUUGGAUCAUGAUUGCUCACCGCCAGCAGCAGAACAUCGACCAGCAUCAACAUCGGAACCGCAACUAGAAGCCGAUGAAGUGGCUCGAACUACAGGUUCAGCUUUUCAGGAACUGCAGAUCAGCGAUGGGUGUGCUGCACUUGAAGGUCUGUUGGUCACGGUUGUUUUUUUUUGAAAUUGCCAUGCCACUGUAAAACCUGGGAGCAAUUCACUAAAUGGAACAGAGUAGUAGUAAAAUUUAUGUUAUUUUCCGAAUUGUUAUAAUUUUCCCAAAAAAACGCUAUUAAAUCAUGAAAAUAUGUUUUUUCGAUUUCCAAUUGCAAUUCUUACCAACAAGAAUCUCUCCAAAAUUUUUCGACCUCUCUUAUUUGUCCUAAGGAAUAAUUUUAGUCCCUUAUCACGAAUUUGAAAUCCAUUUUUCGGCUGGUACGACUAUAUUUAUCUUUUACAUUCGAAAAAGAAAAACAUUUUUUAAAUGUGCAACCUGGAAUGAUGAAUUCAAAAUUUGGUCUCAAGGAGACU